This is an RNA transcript of Ctenopharyngodon idella (grass carp), 4372 nucleotides long. It is a transcript of the gene named ribonuclease inhibitor-like, with no coding region annotated. The transcript is spliced from 10 exons. Lineage: Eukaryota; Metazoa; Chordata; Actinopteri; Cypriniformes; Xenocyprididae. The record is from RefSeq and is a predicted model, not a curated record.
CACAGAACACAGGAGUUUCUGGCAGCUUUGUAUGUGACUGAUGUCAUUAAUGGAGGAAAUCCACUCCAUCUCAGGGAUCUCUUCAGUCUGAAUCUUGAUUUUGGAGAGCAGAGCUUCACAGACUACAGUUCACUCCAGAAAGUGAUGAACAUCGCUUUACAAAAACAGAUGGACCUCUUCUUCUGCUUCUUACUGGGUUUGACCCUGGAGUCCAGUCAGAGAGCUUUAAAAGACCUCCUGACACAGAGAAGCAGCAGCUCUUCAUCCAGUCAAGAAAUAAUUCAACACAUUAAAACCAUGAUCAUGAAUUCCUCUUCAGAAAAUGCUGUUGAAAAUGCUGAAAUCAGUCUCCUGUUUCAUUGUUUGAAAGAGCUGGAUGACCGUUAUCUAAUCCAGCAGAUAAAAACACAGCAGAAAUCUGGACUCAGACUCUCUCCUGCUCAGUUUUCAGCUCUGAUGAUUGUGCUUCUGAACUCAGAAGAGAAGUUGGAUGAGAUUAAAUCUCAUCAAUCAGAAGAACUGAAGCUUCAGCCAGUGGUCAAAACAUCUGGAGAAAAUGAGUUGAGAUCUUGCCGUAUCAGUAACAAAGGCUGUGCUGAUCUGAUUUCAGCUCUGAGAUCAAACCCGUCUCAUCUGAAAGAGCUGGACCUGAGUAAGAAUAACAUUACAGAUUCAGGAGUGAAGCAGCUUUCAGAUCUACUGGAAGAUCCUCAGUGUAAACUGGAGAAACUGGGGUUGAGAUCUUGUCAUAUCAGUGACCGAGGUUAUGCUGUUCUGAGUUCAGCUCUGAGAUCAAACCCGUCUCAUCUGAGAGAGCUGGACCUGAGUGAGAAUGACAUUACAGAAUCAGGAGUGAUGCAGCUUUCAGAUCUACUGGAACAUCCUCAGUGUAAACUGGAGAAACUGAGGUUGAGAUCUUGUCAUAUCCGUGUAAGAGGUUGUGCUGUUCUGAGUUCAGCUCUGAGAUCAAACCCGUCUCAUCUGAGAGAGCUGGACCUGAGUGAGAAUGUACUUGAAGAAUUAGGAGUGAAGAUUCUUUCAGAUUUACUGGCAGAUCCUCAGUUUAAACUGGAGAAAUUGGGGUUGAGUUCUUGUAAUAUCAGUGACAGUGGUUAUGCUGAUCUGAGUUCAGCUCUGAGAUCAAACCCGUUUCAUCUGAGAGAGCUGGACCUGAGUGGGAAUAAAUUUGGAUAUUCAGGAAUGAAGGAGCUUUUGGAUUUACUAAAACAUCCUCAGUGUAAACUGCAGAAACUGGGGAUAAGAUCUUGUGAUAUCAGUGACAGAGGUUGUGCUGUUCUGAGUUCAGCUCUGAGAUCAAAUCUGUCUCAUCUGAGAGAGCUGGACCUGAGUGAGAAUUACAUUAGAGAUUCAGGAGUGAAUCAGCUUUCAGAUCUACUGAAAUAUCCUCAGUAUAAACUGGAGAAACUGAGGUUGAGAUCUUGUUAUAUCAAUGACAGAGGUUGUGCUUUUCUGAGUUCAGCUCUGAGUUCAAACCCGUCUCAUCUGAGAGAGCUGGACCUGAGUGAGAAUGACAUUACAGAUUCAGGAGUGAUGCAGAUUUCAGAUCUACUGAAACAUCCUGAGUGUAAACUGGAGACACUGAGGUUGAGAUCUUGUCAUAUCAGUGACGCUUGUGCUGAUCUGAGUUCAGCUCUGAGUUCAAACCCAUCUCAUCUGAGAGAGCUGGACCUGAGUAAGAAUGUCAUUAGAGAUUCAGGAACGAAGCAGAUUUCAGAUCUACUGAAACAUCCUCAGUUUAAACUGGAGACGCUGAGGUUGAGAUCUUGUUAUAUCAGUAACAGAGGUUGUGCUGAUCUGAGUUCAGCUCUGAGAUCAAACCCAUCUCAUCUGAGAGAGCUGGACCUGAGUGGGAAUGUCAUUACAGAUUUAGGAAUAAAGCAGCUUUUAGAUCUGCUAGAAGAUCCUCAGUGUAAACUGGAGAAAUUGGGGUACGUUUCCAAUUCCAGCACUGUAUACUGUGAAUCCAUGCAUGUUGACACACAUUCUUCACCAGAUAGACUCACAAUAUCCAUAUUUCUUUGUUUGUGAUAGUGUCUGAUUUUCUGUUGCUGUGCUGUUCUGAGAUCAGCUCUGAGAUUGUCCCCUACUAAACUCACAGGUUGAGAUCUAGUCGCAUCAGUAACAGAAGUUUUCAGAGGGAGAUAAAAUCUGUCUCUGAGAGAGCUGGACCUGAGUGAGAAUGACAUUAGAGAUUCAGGGGUGAAGAUGCUUUCAGAUCUACUAGAACAUCCUCAAUGUAAACUGGAGAAACUGGAGUAAGUGUCAUUAUUCUGCUGCUGUGUGAUUGUUUUAAGAAACACUCAAGGAAUGUCAAGAACAGAUUUAUUUUUCAUGAACAAAAAGUGAGAACACCCAGAUCUCAUUUCAGCAGAAAGAACUUACUAUACAUCUCUCAGUCUCUGUGUAUGAUAGUCUAAUGCUUGAUUUGUGUUUUACAUGAAAAAUUUACCUUUUAAAUGUUAGAGAUAAAUGUUCACAGUAUUAACAGACACAACAUGUAAAAUAUAAAUAUAAAACAAUUGGGAUUUAUCUUGCUUAUUUUACCAGCGGUGCUUGUUUUGUUUUUUUUUAAUCCCACUCUCAGCCCGAUUUUACUAUUCUGCACCCAUCAGAUUAGAUGUUUCAUAUUUAUAUAUCUCAUCAACAAUUCUGAAAACUCCUAAAUUAUACAGUAUAUAGUUUACCCAUGAAUAUGUUAAGACAUAACACCAAAACUUACUGAAAUAUCAAAAUGAUUUCAGUACAUCAAACUAGAUUUGUAGAUUUGAGUAGUGCUUAAUCAAGCAAAACUGAGUUUAGUUAAUCAACUUUUCAGAAUAUAAUAGCUUAAAUUCACAUGAUUUCGUAUUUACAUUAUAAUCCACACAUGCAGUGGUGUCAUUUCACCAAAAGCCAGGGUAUGGCAGACCCUGAUGACGUCAUUCCAAACUUACUCCCUCGACAUGACAGUCCCACUUUCUUCACACAACUUUUUUCCAGCACUUAUCCAAUUUAAGUGUUAUUUUUAAUAUGAUUACCAAAAACGUUUUUAUUCAGUCUACAAAGAUUGUCCUCAUUUGUAAAACUAGAAGUCAAUCAAUCAGAAACAACAGCCAAUCAGAACAGGGUGUGGGCGGGCUCUCGCAGCAUUUGCACUACACCAGAGACUGAACUUGAAGGCACUUGCAAGAAAAUUAAUAAGUACGUAAUAAAAUUCACAAAUACUACACCAUUUAAACAUUAAUAAAAACACAUACUGGGCUACUAAAACAAUCUUUGUCAUAGAAACUUGUUUGUUCACAAUUUGAACGUUCUUGCUUCCAUUUGUUUAAUUUCAAGAUCUGAGGUGAAUUAUCCAUUGUUGCUUUUAACACGACUACAAAGCUGGGAGCACUAAAUGAUAUUCUAAGUCACUUUACACGCUUUUAACAUUAAAUAAAGUACAUAAGCUGAGAUUAUCAUUGCCAUACUUUGUGUCGUUGUUCCGACCAAGACUUCCAAAAAAUAGAAAGUUUCUUAAAUGGAAUCGUCGUGUGGUAAGGACAACUGGUAACUUAAACACCUCUGAUUAGUCAUUAUUUUCAACAGAAAUCCCUUUGAUUGGCUACAAUACUCAAUCCUGCAAAAUCACUUUGUGAAUAGACACAUUGGCAGCGCCAUUGAUCUUACAUGACACGAAUAUAACAACUAGAUCGCUUUAAUUUACUUGCUUUUAUAUUUUAAAAAUACAAAUUAUAUGUUACACAUAGUAAUAUAACUCUGUUAAUCCUGCAUGCAAUUAAUAAAAUUAUAUAACUUGACCAGGCAGCCAAGGUAUGGUGGUCAUCAUACCCUGCCAUACCCAAUUGAAGCCCCUGCACACAUGUAUGUCAAACAAAUAUAGCACUGUAAAGUUAGUUUUAGUUUUGUACUCUGCUUCAAAAAUGUACACAAAUGUGCUUUUACUUUUGUGAUAACUGUUGAGACUGUUUAGGUAACUCUGAUCUUAGACUUGGACACAUGGAUGGUGUUUGCCAAAGCUGCCUGUUCAUAAUUUUAGAAAUUCUCACAAAAUGCAUGAUGGAGGGAAUUUAGUCAAACCUUAAUUUAAUUGCAAGUAAUUUUGAACAAUUUUACUGUGUUUGGUCAGGGUUAGAUCUAUUCUGGGCUGGUCCAUUAAUUUCAUCACACUUUUUCAACAGCUCAGUUCUGAUAUUUGUAGAGUCUUUAUAGUAACAUUUACAUCCAGUUCAGGAUCAAUUCUGUAUAAUGUAUGCUUUUUCAUUUUUACCUGAGAUGUCAUUCUUCUCCUCUUUACUGCAUGUGUACUGCUGCAAACUACAUGUACAGUGAAACUUAAAAGAAAAAGACAAAAAUAAAAACCCUAAAAUGA